ACGUAUAAUUUUUAUGAUAUAAAUCAAAUAUUUUUUUAACUUUUUAAUCUUCUGAGUAUUAGAUAUGCCCCAGCAUUUUCAUAUUAUAUUAAAAGAAAUUAUGGAACCUCUAUCUACUGAGCUUGAGCAUUUGAGAUCAAUUUAAAUAAAAAUAUUUAAUGAUGAAUCUCUUAUUGAAUGUGAAUCAUUUGUUUAAUAAUAUUAUAUUUGUUGGGGG
RNAcentral lists this long non-coding RNA (217 nucleotides) under Elaeis guineensis (African oil palm). RNAcentral describes it as "long non-coding RNA (EGUI_LNC062493)". The record is from RNAcentral. Lineage: Eukaryota; Viridiplantae; Streptophyta; Magnoliopsida; Arecales; Arecaceae.